Long non-coding RNA from Oxyura jamaicensis (ruddy duck), 783 nucleotides. RefSeq lists it as uncharacterized. The record is from RefSeq and is a predicted model, not a curated record. The transcript has 4 exons. NCBI's taxonomy places the organism in Eukaryota, Metazoa, Chordata, Aves, Anseriformes, Anatidae.
ACUAUGGGGCAGUUAUGAGGCUCUAUGGGGCAGUUAUGGCGCCCUAUGGGGUCUUUGGGGCAGUUAUGGGGCUCUGUGGGGCAGUUAUGGGGCCCUAUGGGGCAGUUAUGGGGCCCUAGGGGGCAGUUAUGGGGUUCUAUGGGGCAGUUAUGGGUCACUUAUGGGUCACUUAUGGGGCACUUAUGGGUCGCUAUGGGGCACUUAUGGGUCGCUAUGGGGCAGCCAUGGGGCACUUAUGGGUCACUUAUGGGGCACUUAUGGGGCACUUAUGGGGUCACUAUGGGGCACUUAUGGGUUACUUAUGGGUCCCUUAUGGGUCGCCAUGGGGCAGUUAUGGGGCAGCUAUGGGUCAGUUAUGGGUCGCUGUGGGGCAGCCAUGGGGCAGUUGUGGGUCGCUAUGGGGCAGCCAUGGGUCACUUAUGGGGCACUUAUGGGUCACUUAUGGGUCGCUAUGGGUCACUUAUGGGGCACUUGUGGGUCGCUAUGGGGCAGCCAUGGGGCACUUGUGGGUCACUUAUGGGGCACUUAUGGGUCGCUAUGGGGCAGCCAUGGGGCAGCCAUGGGGCACUUAUGGGUUGCUAUGGGGCAGCCAUGGGGCAGUUGUGGGUCACUUAUGGGUCGCUAUGGGGCAGCCAUGGGGCACUUAUGGGUCACUUAUGGGUCGCUGUGGGGCAGCCAUGGGGCAGCCAUGGGGCAGCCAUGGGGCACUUAUGGGUCACUUAUGGGUCACUUAUGGGGCACUUAUGGGGCACUUAUGGGGCACUUAUGGGUCACUAUGGGGCA